Molecule: non-coding RNA, 390 nt
Organism: Centropristis striata (black sea bass)
Lineage: Eukaryota; Metazoa; Chordata; Actinopteri; Perciformes; Serranidae
Source: the annotation of a RefSeq genome assembly
AUGACUUUGAUCUGCGUCCUCAUCUGGACUCUCCUCUGCUGCUGCUUCACAGAGUCCAGAGGACAGGUCACAGUGACUCAGUCUGGAGCAGUGAGCUCUGCUCCGGGAGGCUCCGUCUCCAUCAGCUGUAGGCUCAAUUUAGCGGUGACAGUAGGAUCAAGCAGUCGUAAAGAUCUAUUGCAUUGGUACCAACAGAAAGAUGGAGAAACUCCUAAACUGCUGAUUUACAGGGUUAAUGAGCGACAAUCAGGGACUCCAGGUCGUUUUUCAGGCAGUGGAUCAAAGACUGACUUCACUCUGACCAUCAGUGGAGUUCAGGCUGAAGAUGCAGCAGUUUACUACUGUCAGAGUUAUCACUCUAUCAACAGUCAGGAUGUGUUCACACAGUGA